UACGGAGGGAGCUAGCGUUGUUCGGAAUUACUGGGCGUAAAGCGUACGUAGGCGGUUAUUCAAGUCAGAGGUGAAAGCCCCGGGGCUCAACCCCGGAACUGCCUUUGAAACUAGAUAGCUAGAAUCUUGGAGAGGUCAGUGGAAUUCCGAGUGUAGAGGUGAAAUUCGUAGAUAUUCGGAAGAACACCAGUGGCGAAGGCGACUGACUGGACAAGUAUUGACGCUGAGGCACGAAAGCGUGGGGAGCAAACAGG
This 254-nucleotide ribosomal RNA is filed under the name uncultured bacterium. Its description in RNAcentral is "partial 16S ribosomal RNA". It matches the Rfam family "Bacterial small subunit ribosomal RNA", at positions 524 to 776 of the family's 1533-position model. The record is from RNAcentral.